CUGACUUCUAAUGAUAGCAUAUCAGUGUUCCUGUCCUUGCACAUCAAUACUUACACUUUCUCCUAAAGGUAUUGUUUUAUAGAAAGUACUGGAAUUAGUUACCGUGUACAAGAUGUAUUUACGGUAUAUUUUUAACUCCACUAUGUUAUACAUGUAUACGUUUGUCUCUUGUCAUUCAAAGGGCUUCCAAGGAAGAGGUGGACCCAAAGGGGACUUUGGAGACCCUGAUGUGGAGGGGCUGGCUGGUGAGAAAGGUGAAAAGGGUAUGUCUGGAGAAGCUGGCCCUAAAGGACAGCACAGAGUGAGGGGAGACCUUGGACAUAACGGUCCAACUGGAGACUCUGGGAAGCCAGGUGAUCUAGGACCCCCUGGACUGCCUUUUCUCGGGGGUUGAACGGCAUGAGAGGAGUGCCUGGCAGGACGGGUAUUGAGGGUCCACCGGGACAAGAUACAUCUGACCAGCAUAUUAUUGAUGUGGUGCUAAGAAUGUUGCAAGAGAGGCUGGCAGCGGUAGCAGUGAGCGCUAAAAGGGCUGUGCUUGGUGGAGCUGGUGUCAUGGGAACCCCCCGGCCCUCCUGGACCUCUGUGAUCAACGGGUCCACAAGGACCACAUGAUUUGCCUGGUUCUCGAAGAAUUCCUGGGAUGAUAGGAGCUGAUGGACAGAUCGGAAACAAAGGUCUUAAAGGUAGUCGGACACAAUGGGCCUGCCCGGGAUAUCUCGUGGUGUCGGCUCCGCUUGUGUUGCCCUUUGUGGAUCUUGGGGAGCAUAUAGAUUCUGCGGGGUCCGGGGGCCGAUUCGCUCAAGAGAUAAGUCUUUUGUUUUGCAUUAAUGAAUCAUUUUUGUAAUACAUUCUUAAUUAUGUUUUCUAUCAUAGGAAUAGUUUCGGGGUAAAUGGUGAGUAAUAAGUGGUAUUUCUCAAUUGUCUGGUGCUCUCCCAAACAUAUUGAGACCUGUACAUAAUAAUAACCACGCUUCCCUUGUCUGCCGGCUUGAUGACAAUGUGUCUGUUCUUUUUCAGACUGCGGAGGGCCUCAGUUUUGUACCGCGUCAGGUUGGGCGA
Nerophis lumbriciformis (worm pipefish) is the source of this 1062-nucleotide non-coding RNA. The record is from RefSeq and is a predicted model, not a curated record. NCBI's taxonomy places the organism in Eukaryota, Metazoa, Chordata, Actinopteri, Syngnathiformes, Syngnathidae.